Long non-coding RNA from Drosophila santomea, 607 nucleotides. RefSeq lists it as uncharacterized. NCBI's taxonomy places the organism in Eukaryota, Metazoa, Arthropoda, Insecta, Diptera, Drosophilidae. The transcript has 3 exons. The record is from RefSeq and is a predicted model, not a curated record.
UCACCGAAAUUCGCGCCUUAGUUAGAAGCGAUAAUAAUUAUCGGAACCUUAUCUGGCAACGUCAUCUAAAUGGCAAUUGACCAGCUGGUGAAUAUUGAUUCGGAUAAGGGUUCUUCGGAUCCCCAGCAUCUAGCUUCGAUCUUUUCUUACGACGAUCGUCAAGCUGAUAAGUUCAGUCCCAGCAGAGAUAAGACCUAGCAAAAAGGCAAAUCAAGAAAAAAGAACUGGAGAGUACCAUCACAUGUGCUCCCAACUUUAAUCCAGCGUUUAUUUCGGCAUCAAGAUUAAAAGGCCACAAAGAAAAGGCAAUUAAUAAAUGCCCGUGGAUUGCCGUGUCGGCAAGGUCACGCGUGUUAUUUUUAUCGUCGACUACACAGCGAGAAAUCGCCAGGUCGAUUGAUUCUACUAAAGAAGAAAAUCACUGGUUACCCGAGGAAACGAAGCUGAAUUUUAAACUCUUCCACGCCGACCCAAAAGUUCGGCUGGAGUCAGCUACCUCUGCUGGGAGACAAUUUGUUCGGAGGUCGCAGGAAAAAAUCUACAGAAAACCUACAUAGAAAUAAAAACCCUUACAAAACUAGGGUAAAACAAAAACAGAUUAAAAUAC